GGCCCGAUGGUCUAGUGGUAUGAUUCUCGCUUUGGGUUCAGCACUUGAAUGCGAGAGGCCCCGGGUUCGAAUCCCGGUCGGGCCC
Xylaria bambusicola is the source of this 85-nucleotide non-coding RNA. The record is from the annotation of a RefSeq genome assembly. Lineage: Eukaryota; Fungi; Ascomycota; Sordariomycetes; Xylariales; Xylariaceae.